GCCUUCGUGGUGUAGUGGUCAGCACACUCGGCGCGUAUUCGAGAGGUCCAUGGUUCGAGUCCCGGCGAGGGUA
This 73-nucleotide transfer RNA is filed under the name Stegodyphus mimosarum. It matches the Rfam family "tRNA". From Rfam's summary of the family: Transfer RNA (tRNA) molecules are approximately 80 nucleotides in length. Their secondary structure includes four short double-helical elements and three loops (D, anti-codon, and T loops). Lineage: Eukaryota; Metazoa; Arthropoda; Arachnida; Araneae; Eresidae. The record is from Rfam by way of RNAcentral.